GAUGAACGCUGGCGGCGUGCCUAAUACAUGCAAGUCGAGCGAACAGGUGAGGAGCUUGCUCCUCUGACGUUAGCGGCGGACGGGUGAGUAACACGUGGAUAACCUACCUAUAAGACUGGGAUAACUACGGGACACCGGAGCUAAUACCGGAUAAUAUAUUGAACCGCAUGGUUCAAUAGUGAAAGACGGUUUUGCUGUCACUUAUCGAUGGAUCCGCGCCGCAUUAGCUAGUUGGUAAGGUAACGGCUUACCAAGGCAACGAUGCGUAGCCGAGCUGAGAGGGGGAUCGGCCACAUGGGAACGGAGACACGGUCAAGGCUCCUGCGGGAGGCAGCAGUAGGGAAUCGGCCGCAAUGGGCGAAAGCCUGGCGGAGCGGCGCGGCGUGAGUGAUGAAGGUCUUCGGAUCGUAAAACUCGGUUAUGAGGGAAGAACAAAUGUGUAAGUAACUAUGCACGUCGUGACGGUACCGAAUCAGAAAGCCACGGCUAACUACGUG
RNAcentral lists this ribosomal RNA (497 nucleotides) under uncultured bacterium. RNAcentral's name for it is "partial 16S ribosomal RNA". It matches the Rfam family "Bacterial small subunit ribosomal RNA", at positions 28 to 507 of the family's 1533-position model. The record is from RNAcentral.